RNAcentral lists this ribosomal RNA (396 nucleotides) under uncultured bacterium. Its description in RNAcentral is "partial 16S ribosomal RNA". It matches the Rfam family "Bacterial small subunit ribosomal RNA", at positions 523 to 918 of the family's 1533-position model. The record is from RNAcentral.
AUACGUAGGGUGCAAGCGUUGAUCGGAAUUACUGGGCGUAAAGCGCGCGUAGGUGGCUAAUUAAGUCAAAUGUGAAAUCCCCGAGCUUAACUUGGGAAUUGCAUUCGAUACUGGUUAGCUAGAGUAUGGGAGAGGAUGGUAGAAUUCCAGGUGUAGCGGUGAAAUGCGUAGAGAUCUGGAGGAAUACCGAUGGCGAAGGCAGCCAUCUGGCCUAAUACUGACACUGAGGUGCGAAAGCAUGGGGAGCAAACAGGAUUAGAUACCCUGGUAGUCCAUGCCGUAAACGAUGUCUACUAGCCGUUGGGGCCCUUGAGGCUUUAGUGGCGCAGCUAACGCGAUAAGUAGACCGCCUGGGGAGUACGGUCGCAAGACUAAAACUCAAAUGAAUUGGCGGGG